UCCGCGUAGCUGCGCUGCCGGGUACGCCAGCAGCGGAGCGGCGUUCUUAUGUAUAUCUUAUAUAUCUAGGCUUAUCGGGAGAGCGAGAUAUGUAUGUACGUAUGUAAUAUGUAUUUGGUCGGCGUGUGAAUGCUGACCAUGCACUUAUACUUUUUGCCUUCGAGUGGGUGAUCAUGUUACAUCCGCCCUGGCCUAACUGCGUGCAUAAACAUAAACAUAAACAUAGCAACAAAGUGCUGCCAUAAGUUAAUAUGCUAUUUUAUUUAAUUGUUCUUAAUAUUGCAUAGGCACAUACUACACUAUCGCUAGUUUCUUAGGUCUUAGCUUUUCCUUAGGUUUUUCAGAUAGAAAGGCAGGGAAUACAGACAGCAAAGGUGAGUUAACAUAUUACUACGUUCCUUCAAGAGUGGCUUUCGUUUGCGUUAUCUGAUGAGCAAUAACUUUCGCCCCUAGCUGAAAAAUGAUACUUCUCAUGUUGAAUGCGAGAUUGGUCUUACUGAAAAUAACGGAAAAUAGAAAAGCUCAUUUGAGUUUCUAAAAACGUUGACCUGGCCUCUUAUUAACUUAAUUUAUAUUUCUAUUGUAGCUUGGAAUACUGCUCAGAGGACAAAGCGGGAGUGACGGAAGAUACGGUUAGUAUCUAUUUGAUGACCAUCUUUACGUUAUAUUAGUUCUGAUGAGCAUUAACUUUCGCCCCUAUCUGAAAUUGAAACUUCUCUUGUUGAAUGCGAGAUUGGUCUUACUGAAAAACUAAAAAACUAUAAGCACAUGUGGGCUAUCUAUAUCCAAUAUAUUUUAAAACCCAAUAUAUAUUUACAGAUCGGCGGAACGAAAACUAAAAACGUGCUUCGAAUAAACAUAGGAAUUAAGGUAAGAAUGCCUUAAUUUAUAGUUGAAUUUCUUAUUAUCAUGAUGAGCAUUAACUUUCGCCCCUAUCUGAAAUUGAAACUUCUCAUGUUGAAUGCGAGAUUGGUCUUACUGAAAAGAAUUUCGAUUUAAAAACACGAAAACAAUUUUCUAAGCACUUUCUAACCAAAUUUUGCCCAUUCUCUUUACAGAUUUGUUGAUUAGGUUAUGCAAUAUAUGGACUAUAACUUUAAUAAAAUAGGUAAAUAUUGAAUAACUAAAAGUUAUUAAAAUGUUUUUAAGUGAUGAGCUUUAACUUUCGCCCCUAUCUGAAAUUGAAACUUCUCCUGUUGAAUGCGAGAUUGGUCUUACUGAAAUGACUCACAAUUAAAAACAAGCCUCAAUCUUUUCGAUUGCCUUUCUAAUAAAAUGCUACUUUUUCUUUACAGAUAAGUUCAAAAAUUUUUUUGAAAAUCAUUGAAUGCCACAGGAAUCUUAAAAGGUAAAUGUAUUCAAAAUGAAUUAUUUCUUUGCGAGAAUAACUAACUUCUUUGAAAAUUAACUGAUGUAAAAAAAAAACUGAAUUAUGUGGCAUGAUUUUCACAUUAACCGCAACAAAUCCUACUCCAAUAGGUCCUACUGACAAUUCUCACAAAAAUAAUGCAUUUAGGCCAAUACAAUAACAACGAUGCCUAACAAUUGACUCUCCUUUGCCUUUUCAGUUCGCAUGACACUUUAUUGCGUUGAGUAAACAAGGUAAAAAUAAAUUUAAAAAAACUCGUUUGCCCAGUUUCUAGUGAAAAUGUUGAAAUAAAAAUACUGAUUUAUGUGGCAUGAUUUUCACAUUAACCGCAACAAAUCCUACUCCAAUAGGUCCUACUGAAUAUAUUCACAAGAAACUUAAGGUGUGUUUUAACCAGAUGUGGUUCUAAGUGAAUUUUUUCUUAUAUUUGCAGAUGUGCUUUUGGCGACUUUCCACUGACUGUUCCAAUUGAGUUCCAUUUUAUGCCCUUUUUUAGGUACAACACUGCCCAAGACAUCAUAUAAUACUUUAUAAGCAAAUAAAAGAAACAUACACAAAAAGCACAACUUCUUUUUAAUUAGACAAGGCCAUGUGUGCUCUUAACCUAAAACA
RNAcentral lists this small nucleolar RNA (1981 nucleotides) under Drosophila melanogaster (fruit fly). Its description in RNAcentral is "UHG6 small nucleolar RNA host gene". The stretch from base 903 to 991 matches the Rfam family "Small nucleolar RNA Me28S-Gm1083". Lineage: Eukaryota; Metazoa; Arthropoda; Insecta; Diptera; Drosophilidae. The record is from RNAcentral.